AGUUUGAUCAUGGCUCAGGAUGAACGCUAGCGGCAGGCUUAAUACAUGCAAGUCGAGGGGCAGCAUGGUGUAGCAAUACACUGAUGGCGACCGGCAAACGGGUGCGGAACACGUACAGAACCUUCCUUCGAGCGGGGAAUAGCCCAGAGAAAUUUGGAUUAAUACCCCAUAGUAUAGCGGAGAGGCAUCUCUCUGUUAUUAAAGAUUUAUCACUUGAAGAUGGCUGUGCGGCUGAUUAGGUAGUUGGCGGGGUAACGGCCCACCAAGCCUGCGAUCAGUAACUGGUGUGAGAGCACGACCAGUCACACGGGCACUGAGACACGGGCCCGACCCCUACGGGAGGCAGCAGUAAGGAAUAUUGGUCAAUGGACGAAAGUCUGAACCAGCCAUGCCGCGUGGAGGAUGAAGGUCCCCUGGAUUGUAAACUUCUUUUAUAUGGGACGAAAAAAGGUCUUUCUAGAUCGUCUGACGGUACCAUAUGAAUAAGCACCGGCUAACUCCGUG
This 504-nucleotide ribosomal RNA is filed under the name uncultured bacterium. Its description in RNAcentral is "bacterial SSU rRNA". It matches the Rfam family "Bacterial small subunit ribosomal RNA", at positions 10 to 507 of the family's 1533-position model. The record is from RNAcentral.